GCCGGGCGCGGUGGCGCGCGCCUGUAGUCCUAGCUACUCGGGAGGCUGAGGCAGGAGGAUCGCUUGAGUCCAGGAGUUCUGGGCUGCAGUGCGCUAUGCCGAUCGGGUGUCCGCACUAAGUUCGGCAUCAAUAUGGUGACCUCCCGGGAGCGGGGGACCACCAGGUUGCCUAAGGAGGGGUGAACCGGCCCAGGUCGGAAAAUGGAAAAUGGUUCUGUUCAAUUAUUCAAAGGAUUUCAAUAAGGACCUGUAUGCAGUACUGACGAACAAUUUCUUGCUUCA
This 282-nucleotide small RNA is filed under the name Castor canadensis (American beaver). RNAcentral describes it as "Metazoan signal recognition particle RNA (ENSCCNG00000010430.1)". It matches the Rfam family "Metazoan signal recognition particle RNA", at positions 1 to 228 of the family's 299-position model. From Rfam's summary of the family: The signal recognition particle (SRP) is a universally conserved ribonucleoprotein. It is involved in the co-translational targeting of proteins to membranes. The eukaryotic SRP consists of a 300-nucleotide 7S RNA and six proteins: SRPs 72, 68, 54, 19, 14, and 9. Lineage: Eukaryota; Metazoa; Chordata; Mammalia; Rodentia; Castoridae. The record is from RNAcentral.